This 242-nucleotide ribosomal RNA is filed under the name uncultured bacterium. Its description in RNAcentral is "partial 16S ribosomal RNA". It matches the Rfam family "Bacterial small subunit ribosomal RNA", at positions 28 to 258 of the family's 1533-position model. The record is from RNAcentral.
GACGAACGCUGGCGGCGUGCUUAACACAUGCAAGUCGAGCGGUAAGGCCCUUUCGGGGUACGACGAGCGGCGAACGGGUGGAGUAACACGUGGGUGGACCUCGCCCUCCAGCUCUGGGAGUAAGCCUCGGGGAAACCGGGGUACGUAAUAACUGGAGUAUGACUCCAUGACGCAUGUUGUGGGGUGGAAAGCCUUGUGCGGCUGAGGAUGGGCCCGGCGGCCUAUCAGCUUGUUGGGGGGGU